CCUACGGGUGGCAGCAGUGGGGAAUAUUGCACAAUGGGGGAAACCCUGAUGCAGCGACGCCGCGUGAGCGAUGAAGUAUUUCGGUAUGUAAAGCUCUAUCAGCAGGGAAGAAGAUGACGGUACCUGACUAAGAAGCCCCGGCUAACUACGUGCCAGCAGCCGCGGUAAUACGUAGGGGGCAAGCGUUAUCCGGAUUUACUGGGUGUUAAGGGAGCGUAGACGGGUAUGCAAGCCAGUUGUGAAAGCCCGGGGGCCAACCCUGGGACUGCAUUUGAAACUGGGUGGCUGGAGUGUCGGAGAGGAAGGCGGAAUUCCUAGUGUAGCGGUGAAAUGCGUAGAUAUUAGGAGGAACACCAGUGGCGAAGGCGGCCUGCUGGACGAUGACUGACGUUGAGGCUCGAAAGCGUGGGGAGCAAACAGGAUUAGAUACCCGGGUAGUC
Molecule: ribosomal RNA, 440 nt
Filed under: uncultured bacterium
Lineage: Bacteria
Description: partial 16S ribosomal RNA
Rfam family: Bacterial small subunit ribosomal RNA
Source: RNAcentral